CACAAAUUAAAUCAAUCAAGCACAAACACUGAUCAGCAAAACAUUGUUUGACAGGGUGAAUCAGAAUCAGAAAGGGUUUUAUUGUCAAAUGUUGAGCAGGUUUACAACAUUAGGAAAUUGCUGUGGUACUUAUUGCAAAACAUACUGUGAGACAAACGCUUAAAUAAACAUAAAAAUUUAAAUUAAAAGUGCUAAGCAGAUUGAUAUAUACAUGUAUGCAGGUGAUGAUCAGUGCAAAAAUGGAACAGAUGCACAGAACACAGUAUAGUGUCAUGUGUUUGUGGUGGGAACAGUCAUAUGGUUAUUGUUCAUGAGUCCAACAGCAGAGGGGAAGAAACUGUUCUUCUGCCUGAGGGGAGCAGGUCGAACAAGCUGUGUCCAGGAUGAGAAGGGUCAGCUGUGAUCCGAGUUGCACGCCCCAGUGUCCUGGAGGUGUACAGGUGCUGCAGAGAUGGGAGUCUGCAGCCAAUCACCAUCUCAGCAGAGCACACAACACGCUGCAGUCUGUUUGUCCCUGAUGGUGGCUCCAUCAUACCACACGGUAAUGGAGGAGAUGAGGAUGGACUCAAUGAUUGCAGUGUUGUUGGCAGGUUGAAUUUCUUCAGCUGCCUCAGCAAGUACAUCCUCUGCUGGGCCUUAUGACGGAGGUGAUGGUGGGCUCCCACUUGAGGACCUGGGUGUUGGUGGUACCAAGGAAGCGGAAUGAGGCGAACAACCUUAGUCACAAAUUCAACUAACUACACUAAAAGAACCGUUGACGGGCUGUAUUUAAGUUUUGAAAUUUACCCUCUUACUUUGGUUAUACUUUUAAAAUCAAGUGAAUAAAAAGAAAAAUCAGUAAGAAAUAGAAAAAAGACAUUUCUCAAUAGAUAUUGGAUCUGGAAUGAUGAGAGGACAAGGAGUGGGAGGGGGUCACUAUUAUGAUACAGGGAUUAUAAUAAGCUAAAAUGAAUCCUUUGCCAUUGCAGUACAGGACUGGAGCAAAUUUUCAGCCUGUGUAACUGAAAGAAUUUAAAAUUCACAUUUACUGCCCAGCUAGCUUAAAAUUCCAGUGCAAUUACUCCAGAAGAAAAAACAUCAUUAUUUCCAAAAACAGCAGCUAUGCUGAUUACAGUUUGGGGAAACUUGCAGACUAAACUGACGUCGCUGAUUUGUCUUCACAGGGAUCCAAACAAGACUGGUUAAAGGAAAUCCUGACCAAGAUUGCAGAAGUGCUAAAACUCCAAGAUAUUCCUGCCAUACAGAUGCAAAUCGUUUCACUGGGAUCUGCUUAUCCCGACCUCAGUGAAAAACAUGUUUCGGCUCUGCUCAAACUCAAGACAAACCUCUCCAAAGCCGACAGGAAAAUCGUCAAAACCACUCUGUCAGACACACUGAAAGAGAGCCGUGCUGAUCCUGGAAUCCGGAAGUUUUUCUCCAAAAUUAAAGUGAGAUGAGCCGCACAUUUGCUUCUUAGAGUAUCACUGACUGAGAGUUUGGUUGCAGAGCAGCAAUAUUAUCGUGUAUUAUAUUGUGUUACAGUCUAUCUCUGUAAAGACAUACAGAGUGAAUGCCAGGGAAAAACCUUCAGAUGCUACUUAGACUGAAAUCCCUAUUAUACGCAGACUCGGUGAUGGUGAAUGCUUGCUGUAGUUACUGUAUGUUAUUGUAUACAUAAGCUAGAUUUUACAUUCAUGCUGGCAAUUUUUGUGCAUUUCAUAGAAACUGUGAAUAAGUAUGCAAGAGUCUGUUUUUACACACUUACAAACAGGUCAGUGCCGUUCUAUUAUAUGUCGUUUUGUUUAAAAACUACAAUGAUAUUAAAGUCUAGUUUUUUCAUAAGUUGUAUUUUAUGCUAUAUUGUAUUACAGAGAAUUAUACAUGUCUCAUGUACAUAAAAAGAUGUAAGUUGAGUUUUUUUUAAUAAAUGUGCAAAAACCAGCUCAA
Astatotilapia calliptera (eastern happy) is the source of this 1926-nucleotide long non-coding RNA. Lineage: Eukaryota; Metazoa; Chordata; Actinopteri; Cichliformes; Cichlidae. The record is from Ensembl.